CUGAUAAAGGCUUAUCUGAAAGUCGUUAUUUCGUUUAUUUACAAAAGUUGGCGCACACAGGAAAUAAUCUGUCGACAUUCAGACGUCAUGUUUUUGUUGUGUUCUAAAUAUCCAAAAGCAAAGCAAUGUCUUUCGAUGUCAAAUACCACUAAAAUCAAAUCGAACCGUUUUUUUGUAUUAGCGUUUUGGAGCAUGGUGCAUUAUUCUUCGAAUUUUUUUUAGAAGCUUGUCAUGUUUUUAAAUAUUUGUUGUUUUGAAUACUUUUUAUUCAAAGUACAUAUUAUUAAAACACUAUAUAUACAAGUUUCUUUUUUUCUUAAAAAAUGUCCUUAAAUGUAU
This is a non-coding RNA of Hydra vulgaris (swiftwater hydra), 339 nucleotides long. Lineage: Eukaryota; Metazoa; Cnidaria; Hydrozoa; Anthoathecata; Hydridae. The record is from RefSeq and is a predicted model, not a curated record.